RNAcentral lists this ribosomal RNA (426 nucleotides) under uncultured bacterium. RNAcentral describes it as "bacterial SSU rRNA". It matches the Rfam family "Bacterial small subunit ribosomal RNA", at positions 355 to 796 of the family's 1533-position model. The record is from RNAcentral.
UGGGGAAUCUUGCGCAAUGGGCGAAAGCCUGACGCAGCAACGCCGCGUGGGGGAUGAAGGCUCUCGGGUUGUAAACCCCUUUCAGUGGGAACGAAAACAGACGGUACCCACAGAAGAAGCCCCGGCCAACUACGUGCCAGCAGCCGCGGUGAUACGUAGGGGGCGAGCGUUGUCCGGAUUUAUUGGGCGUAAAGAGCUCGUAGGCGGCUUGGCAAGUCGGGUGUGAAACCUCCAGGCUCAACCUGGAGCCGCCACUCGAUACUUCCAUGGCUAGAGUCCGGUAGGGGACCACGGAAUUCCUGGUGUAGCGGUGAAAUGCGCAGAUAUCAGGAGGAACACCGGUGGCGAAGGCGGUGGUCUGGGCCGGCACUGACGCUGAGGAGCGAAAGCGUGGGGAGCGAACAGGAUUAGAUACCCGCGUAGUCC